AUGAACCCUUCGGGGUGGAUUAGUGGCGAACGGGUGAGUAACACGUGAGCAACCUGCCCUUGACUCUGGGAUAAGCCUGGGAAACUGGGUCUAAUACCGGAUAGUACCCCUUGCCGCAUGGUGGGGGGUGGAAAGCCUUGUGCGGUCUUGGAUGGGCUCGCGGCCUAUCAGCUUGUUGGUGGGGUGAUGGCCUACCAAGGCGACGACGGGUAGCCGGCCUGAGAGGGUGACCGGCCACACUGGGACUGAGACACGGCCCAGACUCCUACGGGAGGCAGCAGUGGGGAAUAUUGCACAAUGGGCGGAAGCCUGAUGCAGCGACGCCGCGUGGGGGAUGACGGCCUUCGGGUUGUAAACCCCUUUCGGCAGGGAACAAGCCGCUUCGGUGGUGAGGGUACCUGCGGAAGAAGCGCCGGCUAACUACGUGCCAGCAACCGCGGUAAUACGUAGGGCGCGAGCGUUAUCCGGAAUUAUUGGGCGUAAAGAGCUCGUAGGCGGUUUGUCGCGUCUGCUGUGAAAGCCCGGGGCUCAACCCCGGGUCUGCAGUGGGUACGGGCAGGCUGGAGUGCAGUAGGGGAGACUGGAAUUCCUGGUGUAGCGGUGAAAUGCGCAGAUAUCAGGAGGAACACCGAUGGCGAAGGCAGGUCUCUGGGCUGUAACUGACGCUGAGGAGCGAAAGCAUGGGGAGCGAACAGGAUUAGAUACCCUGGUAGUCCAUGCCGUAAACGUUGGGCACUAGGUGUGGGGGCCAUUCCACGGUUUCCGCGCCGCAGCUAACGCAUUAAGUGCCCCGCCUGGGGAGUACGGCCGCAAGGCUAAAACUCAAAGGAAUUGACGGGGGCCCGCACAAGCGGCGGAGCAUGCGGAUUAAUUCGAUGCAACGCGAAAAACCUUACCAAGGCUUGACAUGUGCCGGACCGUCCCAGAGAUGGGGCUUCCCUUCGGGGCCGG
RNAcentral lists this ribosomal RNA (951 nucleotides) under Sinomonas sp. KB18. Its description in RNAcentral is "bacterial SSU rRNA". It matches the Rfam family "Bacterial small subunit ribosomal RNA", at positions 69 to 1030 of the family's 1533-position model. Lineage: Bacteria; Bacillati; Actinomycetota; Actinomycetes; Micrococcales; Micrococcaceae. The record is from RNAcentral.